GACGAACGCUGGCGGCGUGCUUAACACAUGCAAGUCGAACGGAAAGGCCCUGCUUGCAGGGUACUCGAGUGGCGAACGGGUGAGUAACACGUGGGUGAUCGGCCCGGCACUUCGGGAUAAGCCUGGGAAACUGCGUUUAAUACCGGAUAGUAACCAGCGUUAGUGUGGUGGUUGGAAAGAUUUUUCGGUGUCGGAUGAGCUCGCGGCCUAUCAGCUUGUUGGUGGGGUAAUGGCCUACCAAGGCGGCGACGGGUAACCGGCCUGAGAGGGUGUACGGACACAUUGGGACUGAGCGACGGCCCAGACUCCUAAGGGAGGCAGCAGUGGGGAAUAUUGGACAAAGGGCGCCAGCCUGAUGCAGGAAGGCCGCGUGGGGGUUGAAGGCCUUCGGGUUGGAAAAUGCUUUGGAUAGGGACGAAGCGUUGUUGUGACGGUACCUAGAGAAGAAGCACCGGCUAACUACGUG
Molecule: ribosomal RNA, 466 nt
Filed under: uncultured bacterium
Lineage: Bacteria
Description: partial 16S ribosomal RNA
Rfam family: Bacterial small subunit ribosomal RNA
Source: RNAcentral